AGCAGCCGCGGUAAUUCCAGCUCCAAUAGCGUAUAUUAAAGUUGUUGCAGUUAAAAAGCUCGUAGUUGAAUUUCGGGAUCAAAUUGUUGGUCGUGCUUCGGUACGCACUGGCAUUAUUGGUUUCUACCUUCUGAAGAACCGCGAUGUCAUUAAUUUGGUGUCGUGGGGAAUCAGGACUGUUACUUUGAACAAAUUAGAGUGUUUAAAGCAGGCGCACGCUUGAAUACAUUAGCAUGGAAUAAUGAAAUAGGACGUUUGAUUCUAUUUUGUUGGUUUCUAGGAUCGACGUAAUGAUUAAUAGGGAUAGUUGGGGGCAUUAGUAUUCAAUUGUCAGAGGUGAAAUUCUUGGAUUUAUUGAAGACUAACUACUGCGAAAGCAUUUGCCAAGGAUGUUUUCAUUAAUCAAGAACGAAAGUUAGGGGAUCGAAGACGAUCAGAUACCGUCGUAGUCUUAACCAUAAACUAUGCCGACUAGGGAUCGGAUGAUGUUAAUUUUAUAAUGACUC
Molecule: ribosomal RNA, 506 nt
Filed under: uncultured Glomeromycotina
Lineage: Eukaryota; Fungi; Glomeromycota
Description: SSU rRNA
Rfam family: Eukaryotic small subunit ribosomal RNA
Source: RNAcentral